GAUGAACGCUGGCGGCGUGCCUAAUACAUGCAAGUCGAGCGAAGCGGGGACGGGUGAGUCACACGUGGAUACCUUCCUAUCAGACUGGGAUCACUUCGGGAACCCGGAGAUAAAUCGGAUACUUAUGGCUGGAUCCGCGCUGCAUUGGUUAGUUGGUAAGGUAACGGCUUACCAAGGCUACGAUGCAUAGCCGACCUGAGAGGGUGAUCGGCCACCCGGGAACUGAGACACGGUCCAGACGCCUACGGGAGGCAGCAGUAGGGAAUCUGCCGCAAUGGGCGAAAGCCUGACCGAGCAACGCCGCGUGAGUGAUGAAGGUCGUCGGAUCGUAAAGCUCUGUUAUUAGGGAAGCGGUACCUAAUCAGAAAGCCCCGGCUAACUACGUGCCAGCCGCCGCGGUAAUUC
Molecule: ribosomal RNA, 405 nt
Filed under: uncultured bacterium
Lineage: Bacteria
Description: partial 16S ribosomal RNA
Rfam family: Bacterial small subunit ribosomal RNA
Source: RNAcentral